UGAAACGCUGGGGGUGCUAAUACUGCAAGUCGAACGGAACUUAGCGCUGAAGCGACCUUCGGGUCAAUUCUUGCUAAGUUUAGUGGCGGACGGGUGAGCAACGCGUGAGCAAUCUGCCCUUCAGAGGGGGACAACAGCUGGAAACGGCUGCUAAUACCGCAUGAUAUAUAUUUGUGGCAUCACAGAUAUAUCAAAGAUUUUACCGCUGAAGGAUGAGCUCGCGUCUGAUUAGCUAGUUGGUGGUGUAACGGACCACCAAGGCGACGAUCAGUAGCCGGACUGAGAGGUUGAUCGGCCACAUUGGGACUGAGAUACGGCCCAGACUCCUACGGGAGGCAGCAGUAAGGAAUAUUGGGCAAUGGGGGCAACCCUGACCCAGCAACGCCGCGUGAAGGAAGAAGGCUUUCGGGUUGUAAACUUCUUUGACGAAGGACGAAACAAAUGACGGUACUUCGAAAACAAGCCACGGCUACUACGUUCCAGCAGCCGCGGUAAUACGUAGGUUGGCAAGCGCUAUCCGGAUUUACUGGGUGUAAAGGGCCCUUAGGCGGGAUAACAAUCAGAUGUUGAAAUCUAUGGGCUUAACCAUAAACUUGCAUUUGAAACUUGC
RNAcentral lists this ribosomal RNA (610 nucleotides) under uncultured bacterium. RNAcentral describes it as "bacterial SSU rRNA". It matches the Rfam family "Bacterial small subunit ribosomal RNA", at positions 30 to 637 of the family's 1533-position model. The record is from RNAcentral.